This is a long non-coding RNA of Equus caballus (horse), 4110 nucleotides long. NCBI's taxonomy places the organism in Eukaryota, Metazoa, Chordata, Mammalia, Perissodactyla, Equidae. The record is from Ensembl.
GUAAUAAAUGUUUAUUGUUAAAAGCUGUUAAAUUUCAGGAAAAUUUUUUACAUGUGGAUAAGUAAUACAGAUUUGGUACCAUAACAGAUACCUAAAAAUAUGGGACUGGCUUUAGAGCCAGGAGGUACAUGGAGGCUAAAAAGGUUUAAAUAGCGUGUUAAGAGAAAACCUAAGUUGCCUUGAAUAUAUUCUUAGUAGAAAUCUGGACUUUGGAGAUGCUGCCAGUGAGGGCUCAAAAAAAAGAAGCUGGGGCAUGUUAUUAGAAACUGGAAGAAAGGGAUCUUUAUUAUGGAGGGGCAACACUGUCAUCUGCAGUUAUGUGGAAAGCAGAAAAUAUUCCUAAUAAAGUGGAUGAUCUGGUUAACUAGAUUCCCAAGUAGAAUCUUGAAGGUGCCCCCUGGUUUCUUUUUGCUGCUUAUAGUAAAAUGAAAGAGGAAAAAGAUCAAUAGAGAGAAGGACUUUAAAACACAAAGAAAUCAGAAAUUGAUGGUUUUACAAGUUCUCAGCCACUUCAGAUGGCAAACAAUUCUAAAAUUAAGAAAUGGCUUUCAAGUAAGGAGCAAAUCAAGAGCUCUACCAGGAGAACAUGGUGCAAAGAUAAAGCUGAGGGUGUGACUGUCAGAUUCUUUGUUCAGACCUCAGAAAAGAACAAAGAUGGUGCCUAAUGUAUUAUUCAGUCACACAAAGUCCCUUUAAAGAAAUUAAGGUGCGCCUUACAGAGUCUCUCAAGCAACAGGUCUUCUAAGAAGCUUAUACCCACUGUCCCUCAUCCAUUUCAGCAGAUGCUCAAUGUGGAGAAAGAUUUUUCCCAAACAGACUUACGAGUAUGAACUUUAUCUAGUGGUGUAAACUCCAAUGACAUUCCUAGAAAGCCCAUAAUAUUUUUGAGAGAAUUAUAUCAGCAGAAACACUGCCAGCUUGGACUAAAAGGAACAGAGGCAGUAAAAAAUGAAGAGGUAGUUUGACUCCCAAAAUUUAACUGGUAGGAAGCAGGCUGAGAAAACUGCUCAGCUGAAGGAUGUUACCUUUCAUACCUUUUCAUACAAAAAGGAGGAUGAUUCCCAGGGUGCAACCAGGAGCCCAAAGAGCAGAGCCAAGAGCCAUGGAGAAUUGUUCUCAGGCCUUGAGACAUAUUCAAGGAAUUUCCAACAUUUGCUUGUCCAGAUUUCGGAAUUGCUAUAAACUAGUAAUUCCUUUGUGGCUUCCAUUCCCCCAUGCAUUCCUGAACUGGAAUGUCUAUACUGGUUAAUCUAUGCUUGUCCCAAAACUGUGUAGUGUGUGUACCGGGGGAAAAUAAUUUGCCUCUUUAUUCUUACAUUUCUACAGAUUGAGAGGAACUGUACUCAAGGAGCUGUACUUAUGGAAGUAUUCCUAAGAGGCCUCAGCAAAACCUGGAUCUGACUUAAAUAAUGAGCAUCCCUAGGGAGAGGCCCAUAAAGGAAAGAACUUAAGGAAGCCUCACACUAACAACCAGCAAGGAACUGAGACCCUCUGUGCAACGUCCCUUGAAGAAGUGAAUCCUACCAACAACCAUGAAGUUGUUGAGCAGAGUGCUGAGAAAACGAUCGAUCGAUUGAAUCCACUUGUUGACGCAAACAAGAAAAGGAGGAAGCAGGUGUCAUACUAGCAAACAAAGGCUCUUCUUUGAUGGGAGGAAAAGAAAAUCUCUAAAACGUUAGUCCUCUACAGGGCAUGACUGCUCCAAUGAAUUCUUUUAAAAACAGGGAUCUUGUUAUUAGAAGAAGGAGGAUUGUUAAGGGCCAACGAUCUCUCUGAGACCAGGAACAUCAUGGCUGGAUGGUGUAAGGAAAAGAUCUUCUUACUCCUCUCCCUGGUAGUCAAGUUUUCUGACUGCUGGAGAGUAGAUAUUACCAGAAUGCUGGUCCCAGAGAGUAAAAAGGCCAAAGAGUGCCCCUUCUGGCUGCGUACCCACUUAUAUAACCCCUACACAGAAGUCAAUGGGUGUUCCAGGCAGCAGCAAAACAGAUGUGGCUGCUGGGGUGGGGUGGAAGACGAUGACCAGCAUACAGAUUGCUGUGCUUAUGUUCUGCGUCGACAUCUGAUAUGGCUAUUCUUGUCUGUGUUUACAUGUCCCAUUCAUCUGGUUCAACCAGACAGAGUUUUACUAAUAUUAUUGAUGGUUGCCAUAACAACAAGCAUGUGAAUAUACUUUAGCUAAGAAAUUGUGACAAGUAUUUGGUUGAUCACAGUCCGUAAAUUGCAUAGAGGGAUGAUCUCCAGGGGUGAAGGGGGAUGGAAUAGGACAUCACCAGAUGGACACUUGCUUUGAUCUCAUUGAGGAAAUUUACAUAGUGAUUUCUCCUGAAAAAGUUCCUUUCCAGGGGCUUCCUCUGGAAAUUUGGAGCUGUUUGAUCCUUGGAGAAUAGCCAGUAACUCAACCAAAGACUCUUCUUAGACCAUAAAUAGCAUUCUGAGUUUGCAUCCUCCAUUUCCAUCACUCUCCCUCUCCUGAUCUUCUCAGUCUCUUCAGUAUUCAAGAAACUAAUGGAACAAAGUCAAAUACUAGAAAUUGGGUAAUCUUCCUUUGCUUCUUUUAGCUCUGGCUUCUUAGGUGACAUUCCUUUUGAUCACAGAUACUUCCUAAAAAUAUACUGGAUAUUGUGGAGUUGGGGGAGAAAAAGGGGCAAGAUGGUGGAUAUCAAAGACCUGGAAAACAACCUCUGCCAUUGAUGAAUUUGUGGUCAUGCUUGAGAGGCAGGGUGACUGAAGGGGUUCCUGAGGUGUGGGGCUUUUCGCUUUAUAACCAGGAAAGUCCAAGGCAAACCAGGAUGAGUUAGAGACUCUAUGAAGUGAGUCUGAGAAAUUCACUUCACCUACGUAGACCUCAUUUCUCCCAACUCUAAAAAUGAAUUAAAAAUUUUAUUUCCUUUGCCUUAUUCUCAGUAAACCAUAUACAAAAGAAGAAAACAAUACAUGAAAUCCUUUAAAAAAAAAAAAAGAGUACAGAGAUGCCAGCCAUAUCUGAUCCUAGAGUAUUGGCUUCAGAGAGACAGGGAAUUGGGUCUCCUUGGUGAAACACCUUAACAUCCAAGACCUCAAACACUUAGCUUCUCCCUAUGGUGCACCUGAUCUCUUUGAGACAAUGCAGUACUAUUUAAUAAGCUGACUCCCCAAAGGUGUCUAAGUGAUUCCCAGGAUGUAGGUCACACACUGGAAGAAUCGCAUUCAACCAAUGUUGAACAACCAAGCUUAAAACUCCCAACACACAGCUGCAUGUUUAAGAUGAAUAAGACAUCAUUGGUGAAAUAUUUUUAUUACAAGGGGUUACGACUUAAACACAGCAAAAAAGAUAUUGGAUUGAGGUGUUCCAUUUAAUGUAUUGGUUGAGAAGGGAGUGAGAGAGGGUAAGGGGAAGAGACAGAAGAGUCAUCCUAUGGUGAUUUCAUCCCACCAUUCCUCUUCCAGUGAGAUAAGAGCAGUCAUUGGGCUUAAGAUUAUCCAUUAUUCAUUUUCUCUAAAGAAGUAGGAGUGCUAUGAGAAUUACGGAUUAGUGCAGGGGAGGGGUAUACUCAAAGACUCCUGGUCUCCCAAUUUAGAACACAGUUGGGAGAAGGAAGGAGCAGAGCCUUCCCCUCCAGAACAAUAACAGCGGCAACACUAGCCACCCACCUUGGCUCAGCUCAGCCCAUAGAGAAAAAGAUACUCCACCCAAGCCCUGUCAGAGCUUAUUGGCUUUGUGUGAAUGAGGUUGAGGAGAGAGCUAUGAUGCUUUGAGGCUACACAGAUAAUCCAUCACUUUCCUCUCUGUGCCCAGGAAGGCUUGUGACAUGUGUCCCAAGAAAAAGAUACGAUGAAGUCCAAACCCCUGGUACCUGUGAAUGUGACCUUAUCUGGAAAUAAGAUCUUUUCAGAUACAAUCAAGUUAAGAUGAGAUCACACUGAAUUAGAGUGGGCCCUAAUCUAAUGACUAGGGUCCUUAUAAGAAGAUGAAAUUUGAACACAAAGAGACACAAGAACAACAUAUGAUGACAAACACAGAGAUUAGAGUGAUGCAUCUGCAAGCCCAGGAAUGCCAAGAAUUACUGGCAAUCACCAGAAGCUAAGAGAAAGGCGUGGAACAGGCUCUCCCUCAGACGGAACCUCUCUGAC